This 73-nucleotide transfer RNA is filed under the name Candidatus Borrelia tachyglossi. Its description in RNAcentral is "tRNA-Phe". It matches the Rfam family "tRNA". Rfam says of the family: Transfer RNA (tRNA) molecules are approximately 80 nucleotides in length. Their secondary structure includes four short double-helical elements and three loops (D, anti-codon, and T loops). Lineage: Bacteria; Pseudomonadati; Spirochaetota; Spirochaetia; Spirochaetales; Borreliaceae. The record is from RNAcentral.
GUUGCUGUAGUUCAGUUGGUAGAUUAUAGGACUGAAAAUCCUUGUGUCAGGAGUUCGAUUCUCUUCGGAAAGA